This 1485-nucleotide unclassified non-coding RNA is filed under the name Mizuhopecten yessoensis (Yesso scallop). Its description in RNAcentral is "uncharacterized LOC110447958, transcript variant X1". The record is from RNAcentral. Lineage: Eukaryota; Metazoa; Mollusca; Bivalvia; Pectinida; Pectinidae.
CCUUGUGUACAUUAUUGCUCGUAAUGCUGGCUUGUCACCAGAACGACACCAACAUGGCCGAAAAUUGACAUGUAAACCCAGGGAUGAAUAAUGCCACCCAACAACAGAGAUGGGCUGGCAACACUGGCGAGACUUUAUACACAGAAAUUAUCUCCAACUAGGAUAUGAACAUCCAUUGUCAGACCCGACAUUGAAGAUUAAGGUAUGGGCAAGCGUGCUUCUCAUAGUGUGGUUCAUAUUGAUGACUGUCUGGGCUGCCGUCAUUUUCACUACGGAUGCAAUCACAGAAGAUUUCACGUCAAAAGGACGAUUCCAGGAGUUUUAUGCCAUUCCGCGUGUGCUACCAUUUACUAAAAAUGCAUUCUAUUCUCUAAAGGAUGCAAUAGAUGGUAUCGUCUUAGUGUAGCUAAAUCAAAUUAUAAUGCAGGCAUAAUAUGGUUUCCUAUUAAUUUUCUUCCAUUGUUUAUUUGCUGAUAUCACUUGUUCACAUACCUAAUGUAUUUAUUGAAAAUUUUAACCAGUGUAUGUAUUCACUGAUCUAUUUCAUUUAACGUUUGAAAAUAAAAACAUUUACAAAAGUAUCCUGCAUAUACAUUUAUGAUAUUAUUUUUGAGUUAAGUUAUAAAGGGAUUAGGUUUGAAUGCGAUUAGAAUCCUCACGCUCUUCUUGAUGCCAUCGACCGUUCAUUCUCUAAGGAAGGGAUCCUUCUAUGAAAUCUUUGUUCUGACAUCCUUCAUGAAAACCAGAAGUGAUGUUAUUAGUACCAUCUUGAAUAAAAACAUUCCUAGCCCGUUAAAACUACUGGUUUGAUUUUAAUUUUUAACGAUAAUAUUUUACUGCAACUUAAAAUGAAAUGUUGCAGUAAGGGUAACUAAGAAAAUGAUAGCUUACAAUAACCUAGGUGUGAAGUCUGAAACUAAGUAUAACACUAGGACAAUAGAUGGGCUACUUAGUAUUUUAUAUAUUUCUUAAUAGCAACAAAUGAUUUGUUUGUUCUCGGAACAAUUUUACAAAGAGGUAAGUCUUUAGGAAAAAUAUUCUUCGUUGUCUAAUUUGAAGUGAGAUUGAAAGAAAUGCACACAUAGAAAUAUACUAAUUAUCAAAAGUUUGUGGUAUCACUGUUUGAUAAAAACGAUUCUUCUGAAUUGUAUGAGCUCUUCCUGUUGUAAUAUCUAAUAUUUUGAGCAUUGAACUGUUUUUGUUCUCCAUUUUGGCAUGCGUUCCAAUACACAGUUUUGUAAUAUCGACCUUGGUCGACCUAUAAAGAGUAACAGAAACAAAACCCUUUCCAAUCCUGAAAUACUUCACCCAACGAUAAAGUGUUAUCAGUGUCGCUGCAGAAUAUUCAUCAAUAUAACGCACUUCAUAGAUCUAUUUAUAAUCAAAUAUUAUUUUUUCAAUCUAUAUUUUAUUACCUGUUUAUGUAUUUAUAAUAUGCUUUUCUUGACGUGUUACUUUAACUGUUUAACUAAAGGCUAUUGUUUG